AACCACGCGUACCCAUCCCGAACACGACCGUUAAGCCCUCCAGCGCCGAUGGUACUUGGACCGCAGGGUCCUGGGAGAGUAGGACGUUGCCAAGC
This 95-nucleotide ribosomal RNA is filed under the name Paenibacillus sacheonensis. Lineage: Bacteria; Bacillati; Bacillota; Bacilli; Caryophanales; Paenibacillaceae. The record is from RNAcentral. RNAcentral also lists the same sequence under 1 other name.